CCCACACCUAUGUGUCUAGGACCUCAAAUGAUCACCAUUAAAUUUAUUACAGAUCUCUAGAAAAGUUAUCACAUGGAUGUGGGACUUAACUUUUCUAGAGAUCUGUACCAAAUUUAAUGAUGAUCCUUUGGGGUCCUACACAUGGGUGUGGG
RNAcentral lists this microRNA precursor (152 nucleotides) under Amborella trichopoda. Its description in RNAcentral is "MIR8565 microRNA precursor family". It matches the Rfam family "MIR8565 microRNA precursor family". Lineage: Eukaryota; Viridiplantae; Streptophyta; Magnoliopsida; Amborellales; Amborellaceae. The record is from Rfam by way of RNAcentral.